RNAcentral lists this ribosomal RNA (853 nucleotides) under uncultured Gammaproteobacteria bacterium. RNAcentral's name for it is "bacterial SSU rRNA". It matches the Rfam family "Bacterial small subunit ribosomal RNA", at positions 35 to 884 of the family's 1533-position model. Lineage: Bacteria; Pseudomonadati; Pseudomonadota; Gammaproteobacteria. The record is from RNAcentral.
GCUGGCGGUAGGCUUAACACAUGCAAGUCGUGCGAGAAAGUAUCUUCGGAUAUGAGUAGAGCGGCGGACGGGUGAGUAACGCGUAGGAAUCUACCUAGUAGAAGGGGAUAGCCCGGGGAAACUCGGAUUAAUACCGUAUACCUCCUUAGGGAGAAAGAGGGCCUCUCUUGAUGCUCUCGCUAUUAGAUGAGCCUGCGUAAGAUUAGCUUGUUGGUGAGGUAAUGGCUCACCAAGGCUACGAUCUUUAGCUGGUCUGAGAGGACGAUCAGCCACAUUGGGACUGAGACACGGCCCAGACUCCUACGGGAGGCAGCAGUGGGGAAUAUUGGACAAUGGGCGCAAGCCUGAUCCAGCCAUACCGCGUGUGUGAAGAAGGCUCUAGGGUUGUAAAGCACUUUAAGCAGGGAGAAAAAGUUAUAAGUUAAUACCUUAUAACCGUGAUGUUACCUGCAGAAUAAGCACCGGCUAAUUCCGUGCCAGCAGCCGCGGUAAUACGGAAGGUGCAAGCGUUAAUCGGAAUUACUGGGCGUAAAGCGCGCGUAGGUGGUUUGUUAAGUUGGAUGUGAAAGCCCUGGGCUCAACCUAGGAACUGCAUCCAAAACUAACUCACUAGAGUACGAUAGAGGGAGGUAGAAUUCAUAGUGUAGCGGUGGAAUGCGUAGAUAUUAUGAAGAAUACCAGUGGCGAAGGCGGCCUCCUGGAUCUGUACUGACACUGAGGUGCGAAAGCGUGGGUAGCGAACAGGAUUAGAUACCCUGGUAGUCCACGCCGUAAACGAUGACAACUAGCUGUUGGGAGACAAUGUCUUUCAGUGGCGCAGCUAACGUUUUAAGUUGUCCGCCUGGGGAGUACG